CGCGACGCUAUAGCCGCAGUUCGGCACGAGCGUCGCCGGCGCUCACAGCGACCGACGCCCGGCGUCGUCGUCGUUUAUAUCGCCGUCGCGUCUUCGGCGCGACACGAAGAAGAAAAUUGCGUUGUUUAACUCUUAGAUAAACCAGUACUAACAAAGAAUUUAGAGUUAUGGCUUGAUACUUAUAUGGUUAAAAUGCAUAAGGGCUCCAACUGCAAAACGCUUUCAAAUGAAGACAAACUAUUUUUAAAGAAUUAACAUUGUCGUCGGGAAAGUCCAGCAAAUAUUUGGGGUAGCUGAUUCUAAUGACCUGGGGAACCACUUAUUCCAAAAACCAUCUACAUGUCCUAGGAAUGUCAUCUGGAAUUUUCCGAUAAACUAGUUGUCUCCAAUUUUCCAAAAUUUAACAAUGUGUCGAGUUAAAUUUCGGAAAAACAACUCAAAAAUAGAUUGUUUUCAACAAACAAAAAAGAUCUCUUUGCAUAUAAUAAUGUUUUAACGAAUUUGUGAUUAUUUCUGUAUAUAUGAAGGAAUAAGUUUGUAGAAUAUUAGAAAAUUACACCAGUUAAAACAUUAUUAUUAUUAUUACUUUUGCAAUUUGAUCCUUUAUGUAUGAACAAACUUAGUUUAAACGCUUUUAUACUAACAAAAACUAAAUAACAGUUUUAGUUGGCUUUAAUACUUAUUAUAAAGAAAACUAUAUUGUAAAAAAUUGAACCCUCUGAUUAAAGAAUUUUUGUAUGUAUAGUCGGUUUAUACUAAAAGAUAAACAUAUUCUUAGAGUUAAACAUAAAUAAAAUACAUAUUUUGGAAAUACAAUAAAUACGUAUUGGAAAGAAAAAUUAUAUUAAUAGAAAUUUUUGCAUGAAAUUUUAUAUACAAAACUAUACACGAAUUUUUCGUAGAGAAUUCCUAUAAUAGCCUAAGAAAUUUUACAUCAAAACACAUGACAUUAUUUUUAGUGAAAAUUGAGCUUGUGCAUAUUUAUUUGCAGGAUAAAUAUGAACAAUAACAAUUAACAAGAAGAAUAAUCAUGUUUUUUGACAUAAAAUAACUUUUAAAUUAUAUAAACAGAUGAACGUAAAGUAUAUUAGUCCGUCUCAAUAUACCCAGGGAUCACUGAAAUAUAGUUGUCUAAGUAGAUAGGAUCCUCCUGGUUAAAAAAAACUAUAAAGGUGCAUUAAAGUUAUGAAAAGUACUUAGCAAUAACUUAAUGUAGAAAGUUGUACUUUAAACUUAUACCGUUGUAUUUUUGUUUUGCAAAUAAUCUCCUAUACAAAAGCCUCCUGGUUUUUUAUUAAGAGAAAUAACAGAAAAAAUGUAUUUUGAGACUACCAAAAUAAAAUAUUUUUUUGACAAAAUGGUGAAGGUAAAUAUUUUUUUUUAAAUUACCGAAAAAUAUAGUUUAAAAUUUAGUAUUGACAAUUUCUACUUAUUAUAAUGAAAAAGCUUUAUUCUCUUAAUAGAACAUUGGUAGUGUUUGACGCAAACUAUUUGGCUAGUGAUAAACAUAUAUAAAGUUAAAGAAAACCAAUGUAGUUUAGAUACUAGUACUUUUUGUCCCUCUAUACAAGGGAUUUUGAAGACCGAAUAUCCUUACUUAUAUUUAGAAAUAGUGGCCUUUCUACUAAUAAUAAUAAACGAACGUAUUCCGCAUGGAUACUUGCGAAAAGAAUAUUUGAAAGAAAAAAGUUACUAGUGUUUUCUGAACCUUUUUUGCUACAGUAAUUUUAAAGCCCGAGCUGUACUUAUAACAAUAUUUACUUGGCAGUCGAAGUAAUAAAAUAUUUAAAAUA
This is a long non-coding RNA of Sitophilus oryzae (rice weevil), 1793 nucleotides long. RefSeq lists it as uncharacterized. The record is from RefSeq and is a predicted model, not a curated record. The transcript is spliced from 2 exons. NCBI's taxonomy places the organism in Eukaryota, Metazoa, Arthropoda, Insecta, Coleoptera, Curculionidae.